GACCGCGUAGCUCAGUUGGCAGAGCAUUGGGCUAGUAUUCCAAAGGUCGUAGGUUCGAUUCCCACCGUUGUCA
RNAcentral lists this transfer RNA (73 nucleotides) under Paramuricea clavata. It matches the Rfam family "tRNA". Rfam says of the family: Transfer RNA (tRNA) molecules are approximately 80 nucleotides in length. Lineage: Eukaryota; Metazoa; Cnidaria; Anthozoa; Malacalcyonacea; Plexauridae. The record is from Rfam by way of RNAcentral.